Molecule: long non-coding RNA, 249 nt
Filed under: Elaeis guineensis (African oil palm)
Lineage: Eukaryota; Viridiplantae; Streptophyta; Magnoliopsida; Arecales; Arecaceae
Description: long non-coding RNA (EGUI_LNC079211)
Source: RNAcentral
GGCCAACUCUCACAGGAGUCUUCCAGCUUCUGACCUUAUGCGGUGUCUUUCUAAACUCCCCCGACCGUCUGAGCCUCCAUAAUACCAUCCAGACUCCUCCAGCAGUCGACCUUCCAUAGUGCCCUCCAGAUUCCUCCAACGGACGAACUCCUAUCGUGCCAUCCGGACUUCUCCGAUAACGAACUCCUUCAAUCAUCUACCAGACUGCUCCAAAUGCUCUCUAGGCUUCAUUAUCAGUCGACUUUCUAC